CAUUCUCUCUUGCCUGCCGCCAUGUAAGACAUGUCUUUGCUCCUGCUUCACCUUCUGCCAUGAUCAUGAGGCAUCCCCAGCCAUGUGGAACUGGUCUCACUUCACCCAGGCUGGAAUGCAGUGGUGUGAUCACAGCUCACUAUAGUCUCGAUCUCCUGGGCCUCCCACAUCAGCCUUAUCACUCAUUCUGGGGGCAGCCCUCUGGCAUGUAAUGAGCAGUCCUAUGGAGAGGCCCAUGUGACAGUAGCCAUGCGAGUGACACUGGAAGUGAAACCUGCAGCUCCAGUCAAGCCUUUAGAAGACUGCAGCCCUGGCUGACAGCUUGACAGCAAACUCAUGAGAGACUCUCAGCUUGAACAACUCAGCUAAACUGUUCCUGGGUUCCUGGUCCUCAAAAACUGUUAUAAAAGACAUUGUGGCUACCAUCUCUCAUCACUCACUCAAAGGGAAGCCAACCACCAUGCAAUGAGAAUCUCAGGUAAUGAGGACCUGAGACCUGUUGUCAAUCACGUGAAUAAGCUUGGGAGGAGAUUCUCCAGCCCCAGUCAAGCCUCAGAAGACUUCAGCCCUAGGUGACAGCUUGAUGAUAAUCUCGGGAGGCAGAACCACCCAACUAAGCCACUCCUGGAUUCCUGACCCUGACCCUGACCCUAGAAACAGUGUGAGCUGGAAUUCUGUGAAGCACAUGACCUCAAGUCUUUGGAUAAAUGGAAACGCAGCUUAUGCCGGAAAGAUGGAAGGCUGGCUGUACUAAUAUCAGAAAUGGAAGAGGAGAGACAUCACUAGAGAUCCCAUGGAUAUUGAAAGGAUAAUAAAGGAGUAUUAUGAGCAUUGUUA
This 837-nucleotide long non-coding RNA is filed under the name Homo sapiens (human). RNAcentral describes it as "long intergenic non-protein coding RNA 1033". The record is from RNAcentral. Lineage: Eukaryota; Metazoa; Chordata; Mammalia; Primates; Hominidae.